CAAUAAAAGCGGUGAUUAUCAUAUGUUCAAGUGCACAGUGUGGAGGAUAUCAUGAGGCCUUGAGGCAGUCAGGUGUAAAACACAAAAUAAUAUUUGAGUUUUUUUCA
Molecule: long non-coding RNA, 107 nt
Organism: Thalassophryne amazonica
Lineage: Eukaryota; Metazoa; Chordata; Actinopteri; Batrachoidiformes; Batrachoididae
Exons: 3
Source: RefSeq, a predicted model, not a curated record